This 366-nucleotide transfer-messenger RNA is filed under the name Saprospiraceae. Its description in RNAcentral is "UBA3362 sp013140975 Standard tmRNA". It matches the Rfam family "transfer-messenger RNA". From Rfam's summary of the family: Bacterial tmRNA, also known as 10Sa RNA or SsrA, is named for its dual tRNA and mRNA-like properties. The record is from RNAcentral. RNAcentral also lists the same sequence under 1 other name. Lineage: Bacteria; Pseudomonadati; Bacteroidota; Saprospiria; Saprospirales.
GGGGCUGACUGGAAUCGACAGGAAAUGUGAUCGGCCGGUAAGCAUGCCGUAGAAUGAUAGUCCACUACGUAAAAAAUGAUUAUCAAACCAUAGAUGGCAAUACUUCUUUUGCUCUUGCUGCCUAAUUCAAGGAAUUAGUUAGCUUGUGCACAUGGCUCCGAUGUCUGAUGAGGGCCUACCGUGCAUCAAACCAUCAGGCUGGUUGAUAAGUGUUCCCUUCUUAUUGACGAGAAAAUACGGGAAUAAGGAUGAAAAAGGUCGUUUCUUUACCUCCCUUCAUUCUGACAAAUAAAUAAGAAACUAAGCAUGUAGAAAGUCGUCAGGUUCUUUCUCUGGACCGGGGUUCGACUCCCCGCAGCUCCACUC